Paramacrobiotus metropolitanus is the source of this 262-nucleotide long non-coding RNA. RefSeq lists it as uncharacterized. NCBI's taxonomy places the organism in Eukaryota, Metazoa, Tardigrada, Eutardigrada, Parachela, Macrobiotidae. The record is from RefSeq and is a predicted model, not a curated record. The transcript is spliced from 4 exons.
AAAAGUUCCUGGCGGCACUACGCACAUUUUUUCCGCACGAACCCUACCGUUAUUACAAGCGGGAUAGCGAUACUAUUAGGAACACCAUCUAUCCAUAGGCUACACUGCGUGAACGUUUACGACGAUACUUUACCACAAUUACAACGGACUACGGCCGUAUACCAAGCGCCAAAGCUGACAUCACGACUGUGCUAGCAUCACAACGCAAGUCCAUAUGGCUGAGCAGGAGCAAAGGUCAAAGCGGAAAAUGGAACCAACAGAG